Molecule: ribosomal RNA, 497 nt
Filed under: Streptococcus sp. 'ARUP UnID 637'
Lineage: Bacteria; Bacillati; Bacillota; Bacilli; Lactobacillales; Streptococcaceae
Description: bacterial SSU rRNA
Rfam family: Bacterial small subunit ribosomal RNA
Source: RNAcentral
GGACGAACGCUGGCGGCGUGCCUAAUACAUGCAAGUAGAACGCUGAAGAGAGGAGCUUGCUCUUCUUGGAUGAGUUGCGAACGGGUGAGUAACGCGUAGGUAACCUGCCUGGUAGCGGGGGAUAACUAUUGGAAACGAUAGCUAAUACCGCAUAACAACAGUUGUUGCAUGACAGCUGUUUAAAAGAUGCAAUUGCAUCACUACCAGAUGGACCUGCGUUGUAUUAGCUAGUUGGUGAGGUAACGGCUCACCAAGGCGACGAUACAUAGCCGACCUGAGAGGGUGAUCGGCCACACUGGGACUGAGACACGGCCCAGACUCCUACGGGAGGCAGCAGUAGGGAAUCUUCGGCAAUGGGGGGAACCCUGACCGAGCAACGCCGCGUGAGUGAAGAAGGUUUUCGGAUCGUAAAGCUCUGUUGUAAGAGAAGAACGGGUGUGAGAGUGGAAAGUUCACACUGUGACGGUAUCUUACCAGAAAGGGACGGCUAACUACGU